Molecule: long non-coding RNA, 449 nt
Organism: Musca domestica (house fly)
Lineage: Eukaryota; Metazoa; Arthropoda; Insecta; Diptera; Muscidae
Exons: 3
Source: RefSeq, a predicted model, not a curated record
UGAAAUAAAAACAUAGAAAAGAGGCAGAAAAUUUAAUUUUGGAAAAAAGAAAUUAAACUGAAGACGAGAAUUAUGAAGAUAAUGUUCAGGAACGUGAAAAGAAAUUUGAAGAGCGUGAGGAGCCAAUUUUCGUAUGCCUUCGAUGAUUUGGUGCAGCAAAAUGAGGCAAUACUCAAACAAUAUUUUUCCAAUAACCUAUUUUCAGAAAGAAUUUAUUGCCAAAACCGGCGGUGAAGGACCUGCACAAUUUAUUUGGUUCCAAAAGUUUUUUUUCAGAUAAUUUAGUCUGCCAAUACAGCUGGAUGGGGACCAAUGUAAAGCCGAGUGAAGAAAAUUCCAUUUUAGUGACGAUAAUCAAAAAUAUUUGUAAUCUUAAAUACAACAGCAAUGGCAAGGAUGUGUACACAAACCUUCAAAAAGAUUUUGCUCACGCUAAAGAACAUGUGAAA